Molecule: long non-coding RNA, 244 nt
Filed under: Homo sapiens (human)
Lineage: Eukaryota; Metazoa; Chordata; Mammalia; Primates; Hominidae
Description: long non-coding RNA NONHSAT196354.1
Source: RNAcentral
AUACUUUUAGUGCAGAUGACCCAGGCAAGUUUGAAAAAUUGGCCUCUUACGAGCCUCUGUCAAGAGAGAACAAGAUGAAGAGUUCAAAGUCGCAAAGUGUGGUCUUGCCUUACCUCAGAAGUCAUGGGACGGUAGAAACAAUAAGGUGUAUUCAUAGGCCAGCGGUGCACCUCUUUUGGGAUGAAAUUUGAAGAAUUGGGAAGUGUCACAAGCCCUGAGGAGUGGCAUUUGCAGCAUGGAGAGA